This 2633-nucleotide long non-coding RNA is filed under the name Homo sapiens (human). Its description in RNAcentral is "HSALNT0020899". The record is from RNAcentral. Lineage: Eukaryota; Metazoa; Chordata; Mammalia; Primates; Hominidae.
GAUAUAGUCUACAGUUGUAAAUGAGUUUCUGAGGCUGUCAUUUUGACUGUGGUAGAGAUUUGUACGAGUUUAUUCACCUUAUACUUGUUCACUCCAGUCUUACUAAACUGAUUUCACAUUAUUUUAAAAUUAGAGGAGAAUAACAGUUAUUAACUACCAUUGCAUUUUCAUUUAGUCACAAGCACUUACUGUUUGAAUUAGAAAUUGCUCCAAUAAAGACAGUGACUGCAGGUUUAUCUCUGUUUUUAUUUUUGUUUGUUUUCUUUAAGGUGCUGAUCAGAAACCCACAAAUAUCUGCCAGGCUGGCAACAGACCCUAAAGAGAGAAGAAAGAAAGAGGAAGAAGGAAGAAAGUCAAAAGGAUGAAACAACAAAAGGAGCUCCCCACAGAAAGACAGACUCUUUCGCCAGCACAUUUAAGAAUCUAAAUGAGGCCAAGUGCCAAGCAGAUAAAGGGACUCUACUUGCUGCACAGUAAAUAAAACGGAGGCAGGAGGACACCUGCAUCAAACAAUACUUUCUGAGGGGAUGACAACAAGAUUUCAGAGAAUUCAGAUCCUGACUUUCCUGCCUCACCAGGUACAACCCAAGUCACCAGAGCUCAUAAAAGAUGUGUGUGCUGUCGCAUCUAUGUGAAGUAUUUCCAUGACCCGAGCAUUGACCACAGGACUGUGCUGGAGGAAACUGGAUCAAGGUACCAAGAUGGGUGCCGUUGACAACACAGAGAGAAGAGAGAACCUAAACAAUGAAACAAGUCCCCUGCCCACGUGCUGUCAGACACUGGAGAAAAGAACAAAACCAAAGAAAAGCCACUGAGCAAACACAAUGGCCUUGUCUUCUACCUUUCUUGUGGCACAAUGCAGGACUGGACAGCACUGUCCUCCCCAUCCCAUCUCCUUCCCUCCCUCUACUCUCACCCCCCUCCACCAGCCUUCCUGCUCCCAAAGCACGUUACUGACUAGCAGCUUGCCAGUCCAGAUUGUAGUUUUAAUCCACCAACUAGUAUUGCAGCUCAUAGAAUGGCUUUGGAUUUAUGAAACAGGCUGAGGGGAAAUAAAGUACCCUAGUUUGUAGAUAAUAAAAGCUAAGAGUGGUGCAUCCAGGGAGAGAGGUGGGGUGCCAGGGGUUCUUAGGAAGGUAGUGGUACCACCUACUGCCAGAGUCUCUUUUGAAUUGGCUUUAUCCAGGAGUCCCAAAAGCCCUUUAAACUACUUCAUGGUAGCCUUUGACAGAGAACUCUUUGGCAGUGACUUGGAGAGGGUUUAUGAAGACAGUGCUCAGGCUUUGGUCAUGACACAGGCAGAUUGGGGAUGGAGUGGUACAUGUUUGAUUACAGUGUGUGUUGAGGGGCAAGGGGGCAGGUCUUGGUACAAUGACAACUAGCACGAGACCUUGAACUCAACAUGGAUUUUAAAAGUGUUUGUUUAAUGCAUGAAUAAAACAAUGCUCAUGAUAUUUUGUGGUCUUUAGUGACCAAUCAUAGUAGACGUCUUAGAAUUACCAAGCCCUAAGGAAUACUAAAACCCAGUCUAAUAAACUCAGUAAAACCAAGAGUGGACUCUAAUGUAAACUGUGGACUUUUGGAUGUACCUCUCUGGUGGGGAAUGUUGAUAAUGGAGGAGGCUAGGCUUGUGUGGGGGUGGCGAACACAUGGAAAAUCUCUGUAUCUUUUGCUUAUUUUUCUGUGAACCUAAAACUGAUCUAAAAAAAAGUAUAUAAAAAAUUCAUAGCCACAUAAAUUGGCAGUCAGAUCUGGUGAUUCAGCUGAACCUUUAUCUAAGCAUAUAGAAAAGAACACAUAUUUUCUGAUGUUUGAAAAAAUUGCUGUUUUACCUUGAAACUAAUAAAACAAAAUUGGCACAACUUAUUUUUUAAAUGCAGUAAAAAUACUUAGUCUGUCCUACAGCCUAUAUUCAUCUACUGUGGACAUCAUUUCCUCGCCAUGAAAUUUCCGUGGAAUCUAUAGGAGGCAAACCUGGGAUUAAAGCCUGAAUUUGCCAUUUAAUAAUGAGAAAACCUUGGAAAAGUCUGUCUAUCUGGAUGACUGUCAGUCCAGCAGAGACAUAGAAAUGUGCCAUAAAUAACCGAAUGCAUCACAAAAACAGAACAGGAGCUACGAGUGUUACUGAAGGCUUGAUUUGAGUUCUCACCUGAGAAACGGACACCCCCUAGCCCACUCCCACAGUUCACACUGGUUCUUCUACCUACAAGCCGAGUCUUCACUUUCUUAAAAGGGGACGUGGACAUGAAUUGACUAGGCCACACAUUUAUCAAUUUGAAGCCAUUACUUUGCUUCACAGAUGUAGAAGCCCCAUUUCUCGACAAAGAAGAGGAAAGAAAGAGGAAAAAUGAAGGAAUAAAUGAUAGAAGUAAAGAAAAAUGUAAAUAAACUUUCUCGUCUACACAGAAUAAAAGGAUCCAGUCUAGCCAACUAGACAAAAGUUAGUUUCUCAAUACUAACAUGCCUGGUGCCUCUCUUCUGUUUCCAGCCCUGGAAUAAUAAGUUUCACUUUUUCAUUUCUUCACCCAAAAUAAAACUUGAACUGCUCACUUCCUCAUCUUUUCAUUUGCAGAUCUCAAAAGCAGCCUCUUCCACAUCUACCCUUGGGGCAUGUCUGGCCCACUCCCCUACAG